GACGAACGCUGGCGGCGUGCUUAACACAUGCAAGUCGAACGGAAAGGCCCUGCUUUUGUGGGGUGCUCGAGUGGCGAACGGGUGAGUAACACGUGAGUAACCUGCCCUUGACUUUGGGAUAACUUCAGGAAACUGGGGCUAAUACCGGAUAGGAGCUCCUGCUGCAUGGUGGGGGUUGGAAAGUUUCGGCGGUUGGGGAUGGACUCGCGGCUUAUCAGCUUGUUGGUGGGGUAGUGGCUUACCAAGGCUUUGACGGGUAGCCGGCCUGAGAGGGUGACCGGCCACAUUGGGACUGAGAUACGGCCCAGACUCCUACGGGAGGCAGCAGUGGGGAAUAUUGCACAAUGGGCGGAAGCCUGAGGCAGCAACGCCGCGUGCGGGAUGACGGCCUUCGGGUUGGAAACCGCUUUCGCCUGUGACGAAGCGUGAGUGACGGUAAUGGGUAAAGAAGCACCGGCUAACUACGUG
RNAcentral lists this ribosomal RNA (468 nucleotides) under uncultured bacterium. Its description in RNAcentral is "partial 16S ribosomal RNA". It matches the Rfam family "Bacterial small subunit ribosomal RNA", at positions 28 to 507 of the family's 1533-position model. The record is from RNAcentral.